Molecule: non-coding RNA, 72 nt
Organism: Ornithorhynchus anatinus (platypus)
Lineage: Eukaryota; Metazoa; Chordata; Mammalia; Monotremata; Ornithorhynchidae
Source: Rfam
AGCAGCGUGGCUCAGUGGCAAGAGCUUGGGCUUUGGAGUCAGGGGUCAUGGGUUCGAAUCCUGGCUCUGCCA